UACGGAGGGGGCUAGCGUUGUUCGGAAUUACUGGGCAUAAAGCGCACGUAGGCGGCUUUGUAAGUUAGAGGUGAAAGCCCAGGGCUCAACCCUGGAAUUGCCUUUAAGACUGCAUCGCUUGAAUCAUGGAGAGGUGAGUGGAAUUCCGAGUGUAGAGGUGAAAUUCGUAGAUAUUCGGAAGAACACCAGUGGCGAAGGCGACUCACUGGACAUGUAUUGACGCUGAGGUGCGAAAGCGUGGGGAGCAAACAGG
RNAcentral lists this ribosomal RNA (253 nucleotides) under uncultured bacterium. Its description in RNAcentral is "partial 16S ribosomal RNA". It matches the Rfam family "Bacterial small subunit ribosomal RNA", at positions 524 to 776 of the family's 1533-position model. The record is from RNAcentral.